RNAcentral lists this ribosomal RNA (253 nucleotides) under uncultured prokaryote. Its description in RNAcentral is "partial 16S ribosomal RNA". It matches the Rfam family "Bacterial small subunit ribosomal RNA", at positions 524 to 776 of the family's 1533-position model. The record is from RNAcentral.
GACGAACCGUGCGAACGUUGUUCGGAAUCACUGGGCUUAAAGGGCACGUAGGCGGCUCGGCAAAUCGGUCGUGGAAUCCCGACGCUUACCGUCGGAACGGCGGCCGAAAAUACCGGGCUCGAGGGCGUGAGGGGUCACUGGAACUCCUGGUGAAGCGGUGAAAUGCGUAGAUAUCAGGAGGAACGCCGGAGGCGAAAGCGAGUGACUGGCGCGUUCCUGACGCUGAGGUGCGAAAGCUAGGGGAGCGAACGGG